GCGGUGGAGCAUGUGGUUUAAUUCGAAGCAACGCGAAGAACCUUACCAGGUCUUGACAUCCCUGACACCCAAGAGAUUGGCGUUCCCCUUCGGGGGACAGGGUGACAGGUGGUGCAUGGUUGUCGUCAGCUCGUGUCGUGAGAUGUUGGGUUAAGUCCCGCAACGAGCGCAACCCUCGCCUCUAGUUGCCAGCAUUCGGUUGGGCACUCUAGAGGGACUGCCGGCGACAAGUCGGAGGAAGGUGGGGAUGACGUCAAAUCAUCAUGCCCCUUAUGACCUGGGCUACACACGUGCUACAAUGGGCGGUACAAAGGGCUGCGAACCCGCGAGGGGGAGCGAAUCCCAAAAAGCCGCUCUCAGUUCGGAUUGCAGGCUGCAACUCGCCUGCAUGAAGCCGGAAUCGCUAGUAAUCGCGGAUCAGCAUGCCGCGGUGAAUACGUUCCCGGGCCUU
This 451-nucleotide ribosomal RNA is filed under the name uncultured Geobacillus sp. RNAcentral describes it as "bacterial SSU rRNA". It matches the Rfam family "Bacterial small subunit ribosomal RNA", at positions 929 to 1382 of the family's 1533-position model. Lineage: Bacteria; Bacillati; Bacillota; Bacilli; Caryophanales; Anoxybacillaceae. The record is from RNAcentral.